GACGAACGCUGGCGGCGUGCUUAACACAUGCAAGUCGAACGGAAAGGCCCUUUGGGGGUACUCGAGUGGCGAACGGGUGAGUAAAACGUGAGUAACCUGCCCUUGGCUUCGGGGAAACUUCAGGAAACUGGGGCCAAUACCGGGAAGGAAUCCUUUCUGCAUUGGGGGGGUUGGGAAGGUUUGGCGGGUUUGGAUGGACUCGCGGCUUAUCAGCCUGUUGGGGGGGUAGGGGGUUACCAAGGCUUUGACGGGUUGCCGGCCUGGGGGGGGGACCGGCCACAUUGGGACUGGGAUACGGCCCAGACCCCUACGGGGGGCAGCAGGGGGGAAUUUUGCACAAUGGGCGGAAGCCUGAUGCAGCACCGCCGGGGGCGGGAUGACGGCCUUCGGGUUGUAAACCGCUUUCAGCAGGGGCGAAGCUUGUGGUGAGGGUACCGGCAAAAAAAGCACCGGCAAACUACGU
RNAcentral lists this ribosomal RNA (463 nucleotides) under uncultured bacterium. RNAcentral's name for it is "partial 16S ribosomal RNA". It matches the Rfam family "Bacterial small subunit ribosomal RNA", at positions 28 to 506 of the family's 1533-position model. The record is from RNAcentral.